AGAGCAAACCGGGGGAACUGAAACAUCUAAGUACCCCGAGGAGAAGAAAUCAACCGAGAUUCCGGUAGUAGCGGCGAGCGAACCUGGAUUAGCCCUUAAGCACUCGUUGAAGUAGGUGAACAAGCUGGAAAGCUUGGCGAUACAGGGUGAUAGCCCCGUAACCGACGCUUCAUCGAGCGUGAAAUCGAGUAGGGCGGGACACGUGAUAUCCUGUCUGAAUAUGGGGGGACCAUCCUCCAAGGCUAAAUACUCCUGACUGACCGAUAGUGAACCAGUACCGUGAGGGAAAGGCGAAAAGAACCCCUGUGAGGGGAGUGAAAUAGAACCUGAAACCGUGUACGUACAAGCAGUAGGAGCACCUUCGUGGUGUGACUGCGUACCUUUUGUAUAAUGGGUCAGCGACUUAUAUUCAGUGGCAAGGUUAACCGUAUAGGGGAGCCGUAGCGAAAGCGAGUCUUAACUGGGCGUUCAGUCUCUGGAUAUAGACCCGAAACCGGGUGAUCUAGCCAUGGGCAGGUUGAAGGUUGAGUAACAUCAACUGGAGGACCGAACCGACUAAUGUUGAAAAAUUAGCGGAUGACUUGUGGCUAGGGGUGAAAGGCCAAUCAAACUCGGAGAUAGCUGGUUCUCCCCGAAAGCUAUUUAGGUAGCGCCUCGGACGAAUACUACUGGGGGUAGAGCACUGUUAAGGCUAGGGGGUCAUCCCGACUUACCAACCCUUUGCAAACUCCGAAUACCAGUAAGUACUAUCCGGGAGACACACGGCGGGUGCUAACGUCCGUCGUGGAGAGGGAAACAACCCAGACCGCCAGCUAAGGUCCCAAAGUAUUGCUAAGUGGGAAACGAUGUGGGAAGGCUCAGACAGCUAGGAUGUUGGCUUAGAAGCAGCCAUCAUUUAAAGAAAGCGUAAUAGCUCACUAGUCGAGUCGGCCUGCGCGGAAGAUGUAACGGGGCUAAGCAAUACACCGAAGCUGCGGCAAUAUCUUUUAGAUAUUGGGUAGGGGAGCGUUCUGUAAGCCGUUGAAGGUGAAUCGUAAGGUUUGCUGGAGGUAUCAGAAGUGCGAAUGCUGACAUGAGUAACGACAAGGGGGGUGAAAAACCUCCCCGCCGGAAGACCAAGGGUUCCUGUCCAACGUUAAUCGGGGCAGGGUGAGUCGACCCCUAAGGCGAGGCCGAAAGGCGUAGUCGAUGGGAAACGGGUUAAUAUUCCCGUACUUCUUACAAUUGCGAUGGGGGGACGGAGAAGGCUAGGUGGGCCAGGCGACGGUUGUCCUGGUUCAAGUGCGUAGGCUUAAGAGUUAGGUAAAUCCGGCUCUUUCUAAGGCUGAGACACGACGUCGAGCACCUACGGGUGUGAAGUCAUUGAUGCCAUGCUUCCAGGAAAAGCCUCUAAGCUUCAGAUUGUAAGGAAUCGUACCCCAAACCGACACAGGUGGUCGGGUAGAGAAUACCAAGGCGCUUGAGAGAACUCGGGUGAAGGAACUAGGCAAAAUGGUACCGUAACUUCGGGAGAAGGUACGCUCUUGAUGGUGAAGUCCCUCGCGGAUGGAGCUGACGAGAGUCGCAGAUACCAGGUGGCUGCAACUGUUUAUUAAAAACACAGCACUGUGCAAAAUCGCAAGAUGACGUAUACGGUGUGACGCCUGCCCGGUGCCGGAAGGUUAAUUGAUGGGGUUAGCGCAAGCGAAGCUCUUGAUCGAAGCCCCGGUAAACGGCGGCCGUAACUAUAACGGUCCUAAGGUAGCGAAAUUCCUUGUCGGGUAAGUUCCGACCUGCACGAAUGGCGUAAUGAUGGCCACGCUGUCUCCACCCGAGACUCAGUGAAAUUGAAAUCGCUGUGAAGAUGCAGUGUACCCGCGGCUAGACGGAAAGACCCCGUGAACCUUUACUACAGCUUGGCACUGAACAUUGAACCUACAUGUGUAGGAUAGGUGGGAGGCUAUGAAGACGUGACGCUAGUUGCGUUGGAGCCGUCCUUGAAAUACCACCCUUGUAUGUUUGAUGUUCUAACUUAGACCCGUUAUCCGGGUUGAGGACAGUGCCUGGUGGGUAGUUUGACUGGGGCGGUCUCCUCCCAAAGAGUAACGGAGGAGCACGAAGGUGGGCUAAUCACGGUUGGACAUCGUGAGGUUAGUGCAAUGGCAUAAGCCCGCUUAACUGCGAGAAUGACGGUUCGAGCAGGUGCGAAAGCAGGUCAUAGUGAUCCGGUGGUUCUGUAUGGAAGGGCCAUCGCUCAACGGAUAAAAGGUACUCCGGGGAUAACAGGCUGAUACCGCCCAAGAGUUCAUAUCGACGGCGGUGUUUGGCACCUCGAUGUCGGCUCAUCACAUCCUGGGGCUGAAGUCGGUCCCAAGGGUAUGGCUGUUCGCCAUUUAAAGUGGUACGCGAGCUGGGUUUAGAACGUCGUGAGACAGUUCGGUCCCUAUCUGCCGUGGGCGUUGGAAGAUUGAAGGGGGCUGCUCCUAGUACGAGAGGACCGGAGUGGACGAACCUCUGGUGUUCGGGUUGUGUCGCCAGACGCAUUGCCCGGUAGCUAAGUUCGGAAUCGAUAACCGCUGAAAGCAUCUAAGCGGGAAGCGAGCCCUGAGAUGAGUCUUCCCUGACAGUUUAACUGUCCUAAAGGGUUGUUCGAGACUAGAACGUUGAUAGGCAGGGUGUGUAAGCGUUGUGAGGCGUUGAGCUAACCUGUACUAAUUGCCCGUGAGGCUUAACCAUACAACACCCAAGGGGUUUUGUA
RNAcentral lists this ribosomal RNA (2737 nucleotides) under Vibrio mimicus. RNAcentral's name for it is "partial 23S ribosomal RNA". It matches the Rfam family "Bacterial large subunit ribosomal RNA". Lineage: Bacteria; Pseudomonadati; Pseudomonadota; Gammaproteobacteria; Vibrionales; Vibrionaceae. The record is from RNAcentral.